AGAACUCCAACUGUGUGAGAAGUGCUAUAACAAGGCCAACCCCACAGGCUGCCCACAUUUUACUUCUAGUCACAGUCUGUUGCAACCUACCCUGCAUGCUAAAGACAACCCUGAAAUAAAGAGCAUCGUGAUGCCUUUCUGAACCAAAGGGGAUUCACAGAACCCACCUGAGAAGGCUGUCGUGAACACGAAGUGAGACUAGAUGUGUGCAGAACAGCUACAGAAAAAUACACGAGACAAGGUAACAGUUGGUUCUGGGAAGGGGAUCUGAGUGGGUGGGGC
Molecule: long non-coding RNA, 282 nt
Filed under: Bos indicus x Bos taurus (hybrid cattle)
Lineage: Eukaryota; Metazoa; Chordata; Mammalia; Artiodactyla; Bovidae
Description: lncRNA (ENSBIXG00005001238.1)
Source: RNAcentral